Molecule: unclassified non-coding RNA, 354 nt
Filed under: uncultured fungus
Lineage: Eukaryota; Fungi
Description: sequence contains ITS1, 5.8S rRNA gene
Rfam family: 5.8S ribosomal RNA (bases 232-354)
Source: RNAcentral
AGUGACUGCGGAGGAUCAUUAUCGAAUUAUAAGCGGAGGUUGUCGCUGGCCCCUUGGGGGGCAUGUGCACGCCCGAGCUCUUAAUCCACUUACACCAGUGAACUCUUUGUGGGGAAACCGUCCAUCUCUCCUCCGUGGGGGGGUGGAGGGGAUUCUCAUGUAUUAUUCCNUAUACUCUUAUGCAUGUCUUCNNAAUGUCUUGAUGUUGCUCCNACGCAAUCAUAUAUAUACAACUUUCAACAACGGAUCUCUUGNCUCUCGCAUCNAUGAAAAANGCANCGAAAUGCGAUAAGUAAUGUGAAUUGCANAUUUUCANUGAAUCAUCNAAUCUUUGAACGCACCUUGCGCUCCUUG